UGACCAUGAUCAGCAAUGGUACGUGUUUCCUCCUGCCAGUCGUUCUUCCUCAUUUGCCCAAGAAUCCUGUUUGAUCUGUUUGGAUGGACCCCCCUUCAUAUGAGGAGGCCAGUCGCCAACCUCCUGCUCUGCCCAUUGCAGCUUUUAACGCCCCCCCGCCCGCCUAUGACGCCUCUCUCUCAUCCCCACCGACACCUCCACCUGCCUACAGAGAAGCAGUUACAGUUCAGCCAGAUCCUUUUCCUGUCCUGUCUGUGCCAACUGCCGUGUCCUCGCCUCCCCACCAAAGCACUGGAGUCAUAGUCCAUCCCAUUACUCAAAUUAAUCCGCAUACUUCUCGCGCUGCAGCUUCUGCUCCAGCUGCUGCGUCCUCGCGUUCCCGACA
Molecule: long non-coding RNA, 385 nt
Organism: Pundamilia nyererei
Lineage: Eukaryota; Metazoa; Chordata; Actinopteri; Cichliformes; Cichlidae
Exons: 4
Source: RefSeq, a predicted model, not a curated record